RNAcentral lists this unclassified non-coding RNA (657 nucleotides) under Hevea brasiliensis (rubber tree). The record is from RNAcentral. Lineage: Eukaryota; Viridiplantae; Streptophyta; Magnoliopsida; Malpighiales; Euphorbiaceae.
CUCGACCCAAAAAAAAAAAAAACAUAGCAUCUGACAGUCCUUAACUUAUGAUUGGAUGAGCAAAGACGGAAUAUACUUUGUUUUUUAGAGUAUGGUUUUCAACUGCUGUCGUGGCUGCUCUACAAUGGUCAAUUGAAAAAAAUUCGACUUGUCUUUUAUCGAAGGAGUCGAAAACGGAUUGCUUGCUUGGGAUAUUUUUGAGGGUGGUUGUCUUUAUCAAGAAAUCAUCCUGUUGAAUGACAAAACAAUUGUCAAUUUUGUUGUUCAGCACCGUUUACUUCCAUUAGAAUUUCGGUCUCUGUCCUCGUUUGUAGAAUAGGCGGGAGCGCUGCUGUGAUUUUUAUAACCUCAUUUGUAGUUGGGUGCAAGAGGAACAAUUGAUGCGCAUGCAAGUGAUAUCCACAAUCUCCAGGAACAGGUUUUGUAGGUCUCUGAUACCCCCCGUCUUGAGCAAAGCUUUCAUCCACAGAUUCAGAUUCAGCACACUUUGGUUGCCCACCAACAACAUAAAGAGGAUCACCUAACAAAGGAUGCCCUAUGAAAGAAAGAUGAAUACGUAUUUGGUGUGGCCGUCCUGACUCAAUCUCAACCUGGACCAAUGUACGGUUUCCCUGCACAUCCCUCUCAAGUGUUUCAACUUUGCUCAAUGCUGGUUUA